Molecule: small nuclear RNA, 164 nt
Filed under: Microcebus murinus (gray mouse lemur)
Lineage: Eukaryota; Metazoa; Chordata; Mammalia; Primates; Cheirogaleidae
Description: U1 spliceosomal RNA (ENSMICG00000043295.1)
Rfam family: U1 spliceosomal RNA
About the family: U1 is a small nuclear RNA (snRNA) component of the spliceosome (involved in pre-mRNA splicing).
Source: Rfam by way of RNAcentral
AUACUUACCUGGCAGGAGACAUGCCAUUAUCACAAAGGUAGUUUCACCAGGGAGAGGCUUAUCCAUUGCACUCUGCAUGUGCUGACCCCAGCAAUUUCCCCAAAUGUGGGAAACUUGAUUACAUAAUUUGUGGUAGUGGGUGACUGUGUUCUCUCUCUCCCCUG